AGAGUUUGAUCCUGGCUCAGGACGAACGCUGGCGGCGUGCCUAAUACAUGCAAGUAGAACGCUGAAGACUGGUGCUUGCACUAGUCAGAUGAGUUGCGAACGGGUGAGUAACGCGUAGGUAACCUACCUCAUAGCGGGGGAUAACUAUUGGAAACGAUAGCUAAUACCGCAUGACAAUUAAGUACUCAUGUACUAAAUUUAAAAGGAGCAAUUGCUUCACUAUGAGAUGGACCUGCGUUGUAUUAGCUAGUUGGUGAGGUAACGGCUCACCAAGGCCACGAUACAUAGCCGACCUGAGAGGGUGAUCGGCCACACUGGGACUGAGACACGGCCCAGACUCCUACGGGAGGCAGCAGUAGGGAAUCUUCGGCAAUGGGGGCAACCCUGACCGAGCAACGCCGCGUGAGUGAAGAAGGUUUUCGGAUCGUAAAGCUCUGUUGUUAGAGAAGAACGGUAAUGGGAGUGGAAAAUCCAUUACGUGACGGUAACUAACCAGAAAGGGACGGCUAACUACGUGCCAGCAGCCGCGGUAAUACGUAGGUCUCGAGCGUUGUCCGGAUUUAUUGGGCGUAAAGCGAGCGCAGGCGGUUAUUUAAGUCUGAAGUUAAAGGCCGUGGCUCAACCAUGGUUCGCUUUGGAAACUGGAUAACUUGAGUGCAGAAGGGGAGAGUGGAAUUCCAUGUGUAGCGGUGAAAUGCGUAGAUAUAUGGAGGAACACCGGUGGCGAAAGCGGCUCUCUGGUCUGUAACUGACGCUGAGGCUCGAAAGCGUGGGGAGCAAACAGGAUUAGAUACCCUGGUAGUCC
This 805-nucleotide ribosomal RNA is filed under the name uncultured bacterium. RNAcentral describes it as "bacterial SSU rRNA". It matches the Rfam family "Bacterial small subunit ribosomal RNA", at positions 8 to 796 of the family's 1533-position model. The record is from RNAcentral.